CCCUGCCCUGCUUAUGCAGUGCCAUACUUCAGUAAAAUUUCAAUCACAUUCAAGUUGAUUACCCGCCAGUUGACAUGUUCACGAGCAGAGUGCUCAGCGUAUUUCAGAAGAAUGCACCUACCGCUUUGAGCACAGUCACACCUCUGGGAUGGAGAGGAAUUAUUUUAUUUUCAGAUCUUUUCUUCACUUCAUGUUUCGUGUUGAAUAGCUACUGGCUGUGGUGUGUCGAAGUCACCGAAAUACCGGUAGAGAGCUGACAAGGUGCAGUGCAACCUAGGUGAGAAGGUCUUCCUUGGGAGAAAAAGUAUACUUUCAGAAUUCUUGGGAGUGUGUCUGAAUACUCGACAGGUGAGCUUCGAGCAGUGCUACAACGUGUCAGUUUGCAAUGACUAUGUGGCCAGCUAUCCGCAUUCCCGUACGUUUGGUGCUGCUGCUGAUUGGUACAGCCCCGCAGCUAUUUAUUACCUUUAUGGGGACAGGAAACGGGCUGAUUGUCUCGUCGCAGACAAGUGGCUGUGAACCUAGCCCAUGUUUGAAUGGAGGACGAUGUCUGGAUCUACUAUCAGGCCCAAUAUCUAUUUGCUCAUCUUACCCUUUCAUCGAGGGCGAUCGUUGUGAAAUCAACGUAGAAGAGCGUAGGCGGCUGAAUCCACAAUGUCCAUUUAGUGCCUGUUUGAAUGGAGGUACCUGCAGGCCUUUAGCGGAUGGACGCUUCACCUGUACCUGCCGACC
Molecule: long non-coding RNA, 732 nt
Organism: Sycon ciliatum
Lineage: Eukaryota; Metazoa; Porifera; Calcarea; Leucosolenida; Sycettidae
Exons: 3
Source: RefSeq, a predicted model, not a curated record